This 1432-nucleotide ribosomal RNA is filed under the name uncultured bacterium. RNAcentral's name for it is "partial 16S ribosomal RNA". It matches the Rfam family "Bacterial small subunit ribosomal RNA". The record is from RNAcentral.
AGAGUUUGAUCAUGGCUCAGAACGUACGCUGGCGGCACGCCUUAUACAUGCAAGUCGAACGGAGUAGCAAUACUCAGUGGCAGACGGGUGAGUAACAUGUAGGUAUCUUCCCUUUGGUGAGGAAUAACACGAGGAAACUUGUGCUAAUACCUCAUAAGUCUUUACGGAGAAAGCUUUAUGCGCCAUUGGAUGAGCCUGCACUUGAUUAGUUUGUUGGUGGGGUAAUGGCCUACCAAGACUUUGAUCAAUAGCUGAUUUGAGAGGAUGAUCAGCCACAUUGGGACUGAGACACGGCCCAAACUCCUACGGGAGGCAGCAGUAGGGAAUCUUGCACAAUGGAGGAAACUCUGAUGCAGCGAUGCCGCGUGAGUGAAGAAGGCCCUUGGGUUGUAAAGCUCUUUCGUCGGGGAACAAAAUGAGUGUACCCGAAUAAGAAGGUCCGGCUAACUUCGUGCCAGCAGCCGCGGUAAUACGAAGGGACCUAGCGUAGUUCGGAAUUACUGGGCUUAAAGAGUUCGUAGGUGGUUGAAAAAGUUGGUGGUGAAAUCCCAGAGCUUAACUCUGGAACUGCCAUCAAAACUUUUCAGCUAGAGUAUGAUAGAGGAAAGCAGAAUUUCUAGUGUAGAGGUGAAAUUCGUAGAUAUUAGAAAGAAUACCAAUUGCGAAGGCAGCUUUCUGGAUCAUUACUGACACUGAGGAACGAAAGCAUGGGUAGCGAAGAGGAUUAGAUACCCUCGUAGUCCAUGCCGUAAACGAUGUGUGUUAGACGUUGGAAAUUUAUUUUCAGUGUCGCAGCGAAAGCGAUAAACACACCGCCUGGGGAGUACGACCGCAAGGUUAAAACUCAAAUGAAUUGACGGGGACCCGCACAAGUAGUGGAGCAUGUGGUUUAAUUCGAAGAUACGCGCAGAACCUUACCAACACUUGACAUGUUCGUCGCGACUCUAAGAGAUUAGAGUUUUCGGUUCGGCCGGACGAAACACAGGUGCUGCAUGGCUGUCGUCAGCUCGUGUCGUGAGAUGUUGGGUUAAGUCCCGCAACGAGCGCAACCCUCACUUUUAGUUGCCAUCAUUUAGUUGGGCACUCUGAAAGAACUGCCAGUGAUAAGCUGGAGGAAGGUGGGGAUGACGUCAAGUCCUCAUGGCCCUUAUGUGUUGGGCUACACACGUGCUACAAUGGCACUUACAAUGGGAAGCAAAGAGGCGACUCCUAGCUAAUCCCAAAAAUGUGUCUCAGUUCGGAUUGUACUCUGUAACUCGAGUGCAUGAAGCUGGAAUUGCUAGUAAUCGCGGAUCAGCGCGCCGCGGUGAAUACGUUCCCGGGUCUUGUACACACCGCCCGUCACACCAUGGAAGUUGGUUACACCUUAAGGCAAAGCUUAUACCUUUGACUACGGUACGAUCAGCAACUGGGGUGAAGUCGUAACAAGGUA